RNAcentral lists this ribosomal RNA (460 nucleotides) under uncultured bacterium. RNAcentral describes it as "partial 16S ribosomal RNA". It matches the Rfam family "Bacterial small subunit ribosomal RNA", at positions 338 to 795 of the family's 1533-position model. The record is from RNAcentral.
CCUACGGGAGGCAGCAGUGAGGAAUAUUGGUCAAUGGACGAGAGUCUGAACUAGCCAAGUAGCGUGAAGGAUGACUGCCCUAUGGGUUGUAAACUUCUUUUAUAUGGGAAUAAAAUGUUCCACGUGUGGGAUUUUGUAUGUACCAUAUGAAUAAGGAUCGGCUAACUCCGUUCCAGCAGCCGCGGUAAUAAGGAGGAUCCGAGCGUUAUCCGGAUUUAUUGGGUUUAAAGGGAGCGUAGGUGGAUUGUUAAGUCAGUUGUGAAAGUUUGCGGCUCAACCGUAAAAUUGCAGUUGAAACUGGCAGUCUUGAGUACAGUAGAGGUGGGCGGAAUUCGUGGUGUAGCGGUGAAAUGCUUAGAUAUCACGAAGAACUCCGAUUGCGAAGGCAGUUCACUGGACUGCAACUGACACUGAGGCUCGAAAGUGUGGGUAUCAAACAGGAUUAGAUACCCGAGUAGUC